GCAACAUGGAGUACACUACUUUGGUUCCUUAUAAAACUCAUUGUUUACUCUCAGAUUUGAGAGAGGGUUUUUAAUUAUUAUUAUUAUUAUUAUUAUUAUUAUUAUUAUUAUUCCUUUCUGUAGAUGACAGCAUAGCUUCGUUUUUACUGCUGGGACCCUCUGGAGUCUACAGAUGGAUUGUUAGGAGACGAUACUUGGGACCCAAGCAAACCAAGCCUCAGGAGCCACUUCAUGGGAAACUGCAAAAGCCUCUGCAAAGAUGACAGGCAUUCUGCCCAGAGGCCUACAUCACAGUUGGUUCUUGAAACUUCCUUUUAUAUUUGCCUUAGCUCUUUCAAUGGAGCUGGGCUUCCCACACGGGGAGUAUCCUGUGGUGGCUAAAUGUAGGGUGACACAACUGGGCCAAGACCCUGUGAAUUCCAGCACAUUCAUGAGUUUGGUGGGAGCCUUUGGAAACCAUUGGACAAAGCCCCAAGUUUUGAUUUUUGCCCUCUCAAGUUGAGUCAGAUUGGAGGUCACCAUCUGAAGCACAGCAGGAAGGGUCAGAAUGGAUGAGCUGACUGGCAGCUUCUGCACAGCUUUUCCGGAACACUUGGUUGCCUGAGGAAUUACAUCCCGAGUAAUUGACUGGGACAAUUAGGCAGGCUCUGAAAGUCAAGCUUGGAAGGCACAUGCUGAAGUGCACCCACAAAUGGGUAAGCUCCGUUGUAGCCC
RNAcentral lists this long non-coding RNA (714 nucleotides) under Pan paniscus (pygmy chimpanzee). RNAcentral describes it as "lncRNA (ENSPPAG00000044540.1)". Lineage: Eukaryota; Metazoa; Chordata; Mammalia; Primates; Hominidae. The record is from RNAcentral.